GACGAACGCUGGCGGCGUGCUUAACACAUGCAAGUCGAACGGAAAGGCCCUGCUUUUGUGGGGUGCUCGAGUGGCGAACGGGUGAGUAACACGUGAGUAACCUGCCCUUGACUUUGGGAUAACUUCAGGAAACUGGGGCUAAUACCGGAUAGGAGCUCCUGCUGCUUGGUGGGGGUUGGAAAGUUUCGGCGGUUGGGGAUGGACUCGCGGCUUAUCAGCUUGUUGGUGGGGUAGUGGCUUACCAAGGCUUUGACGGGUAGCCGGCCUGAGAGGGUGACCGGCCACAUUGGGACUGAGAUACGGCCCAGACUCCUACGGGAGGCAGCAGUGGGGAAUAUUGCACAAUGGGCGGAAGCCGGAUGCAGCAACGCCGCGUGCGGGAUGACGGCCUUCGGGUUGUAAACCGCGUUCGCCUGUGACGAAGCGUGAGUGACGGUAAUGGGUAAAGAAGCACCGGCUAACUACGUG
RNAcentral lists this ribosomal RNA (468 nucleotides) under uncultured bacterium. RNAcentral's name for it is "partial 16S ribosomal RNA". It matches the Rfam family "Bacterial small subunit ribosomal RNA", at positions 28 to 507 of the family's 1533-position model. The record is from RNAcentral.